This 314-nucleotide long non-coding RNA is filed under the name Mytilus galloprovincialis (Mediterranean mussel). Lineage: Eukaryota; Metazoa; Mollusca; Bivalvia; Mytilida; Mytilidae. The record is from RNAcentral.
AAAAAAUGCUAUAUAAUGAGCUUCAAACAAAAAUCAACACACUUCUACCAACUAGACAACCACAUACUAGAACAGGUACAAACAAAUCCUUACCUAGGUCUUAACAUAUCUGAUGACCUAAAAUGGACCAGCCACAUAGGGAAAACAACAAGCAAGGCAAGCUGUACACUAGGGUUCCUGAGAAGAAACUUGCGCCAGUGCCCCCAAGAGUGCAAAAAAACUUGCCUACUUAGCCAUGGUAAGAUCCGUACUAGAAUACGGUGCUGUCAUCUGGGACCCAUUCACCAUCAGGGAAAUAGAAAAAAUAGAAAGCA